Molecule: ribosomal RNA, 700 nt
Filed under: uncultured bacterium
Lineage: Bacteria
Description: bacterial SSU rRNA
Rfam family: Bacterial small subunit ribosomal RNA
Source: RNAcentral
AGAGUUUGAUCCUGGCUCAGAUUGAACGCUGGCGGCAGGCUAACACAUGCAAGUCGAGCGGAUGAGUGGAGCUUGCUCCAUGAUUCAGCGGCGGACGGGUGAGUAAUGCCUAGGAAUCUGCCUGGUAGUGGGGGACAACGUUUCGAAAGGAACGCUAAUACCGCAUACGUCUACGGGAGAAAGCAGGGGACUUUCGGGCCUUGCGCUAUCAGAUGAGCCUAGGUCGGAUUAGCUAGUUGGUGAGGUAACGGCUCACCAAGGCGACGAUCCGUAACUGGUCUGAGAGGAUGAUCAGUCACACUGGAACUGAGACACGGUCCAGACUCCUACGGGAGGCAGCAGUGGGGAAUAUUGGACAAUGGGCGAAAGCCUGAUCCAGCCAUGCCGCGUGUGUGAAGAAGGUCUUCGGAUUGUAAAGCACUUUAAGUUGGGAGGAAGGGCAGUAAGUUAAUACCUUGCUGUUUUGACGUUACCGACAGAAUAAGCACCGGCUAACUUCGUGCCAGCAGCCGCGGUAAUACGAAGGGUGCAAGCGUUAAUCGGAAUUACUGGGCGUAAAGCGCGCGUAGGUGGUUCAGCAAGUUGGAUGUGAAAGCCCCGGGCUCAACCUGGGAACUGCAUCCAAAACUACUGAGCUAGAGUACGGUAGAGGGUGGUGGAAUUUCCUGUGUAGCGGUGAAAUGCGUAGAUAUAGGAAGGA